Molecule: RNA transcript, 1521 nt
Organism: Cajanus cajan (pigeon pea)
Lineage: Eukaryota; Viridiplantae; Streptophyta; Magnoliopsida; Fabales; Fabaceae
Gene name: flowering locus K homology domain
Source: RefSeq, a predicted model, not a curated record
GAUACCUCUCUGUGAGAGAAGAAGCAGCGAUGUCGCAGCAAGGUCAAAUUCCGAUAAACCCUAUGGUUCCUCCGCAGAACCCAAUGGCCAUGCAGGUUCCCAUGCCUAUGCACAUGCAGAUGCAGAUGCCCAUACCCAUGCCCAUGCCCUUACCCAUGCAGAUGCAGAUGCAGAUGCCCCUCCCCAUGCCGCUCCAGAUUCCCUUUUCCGUCCAGGACUCCGCCGCCGCGGCCCCCUCCUCCGGAAAGCGCCGCCGCGAUGAUGAGGCUCCGGGCACCGCCGGCGCCGCCGACCAGUCGGCGGCGAAGCGUGUUAAGGGACAGGACGUGAUAUUCAGGAUCGUUGUGCCCUCGCGCCAGAUCGGAAAGGUCAUUGGGAAGGAAGGGUGCCGCAUACAGAAGAUUCGAGAAGACACCAGAGCCACCAUUAAGAUCGCGGAUGCUAUCGCUAGACAUGAAGAGCGUGUUAUAAUUAUUAGUUCCAAGGACAAUGAUGAAAAGGUUACUGGUGCAGAGAAAGCUCUUGAGCAAAUAGCUCAUUUAAUUUUAAAGGAGGAUGAUAGCAGUUUUGAUGCAUCAAAAGUUACUGCAGGACAUGUGGCUGCCAAUACGAUAAGGCUUUUGAUUGCGGGGUCCCAGGCAGGUGGAUUAAUUGGGAUGUCUGGUCAAAAUAUCGAGAAAUUAAGGAACUUAUCUGGUGCCACUAUUACUGUUCUUGCCCCGAAUCAGUUGCCUUUAUGUGCUUCUGCCCAUGAAUCUGAUAGAGUAGUACAGUUAUCAGGAGAUUUUCCUGCCGUAAUGAAGGCUUUGGAUGAGAUAGGUUGUCAGCUAAGGGAAAACCCACCGAGACAAGUGAUUUCAAUUAGCCCAACAUAUAAUUAUGCUGCAAUUCGACCAUCCCAACCAUAUCUUGACCCAACUUCAGGACAACCAAUCUUGCAGUUGAUUAUGUUACCUUCGAGAUGCUGAUUUCGGAAACAAUGGUUGGUGGGUUGAUUGGCCGGUGCGGCUCAAACAUAUCGAGGAUCAGAAACGAGUCUGGAGCAAUGAUUAAGGUUUAUGGUGGUAAGGGUGAACAAAAGCAUAGACAAAUUCAAUUUGGUGGUAGUGCACAACAGGUAGCCUUGGCAAAACAGAGAGUUGAUGAAUAUAUUUACUCUCAGUUGAUACAACAAACUGGCACCCAACAGUCAGCGUAAGUAUUUUUUUUUAUGAACUGGAUUGAAAUUGUAAAAUUGUUUUUAGUAAACAAGGAACAGGCACAUCAUUGUAAUAACUAAGAUAUUCCUUUUUCUGUAAAAGCUUUUAACCCCAUUUUAGAAGGUGACAUUUUAUGGUUCAUUGAUAGUGUAAAGUUGUUUAGUGUUAGUGGAUUAAACUAUUAAGUUCUUUUAAGUGAUUUGCUACAGAUGUUUUAGUUUGAGGUUUCAAUACAUGUCUUAUAAUUUUUGUUCCAGCAUAUGACUGUAAACAGUAAGCAGAUUACAGCUUAAGUUUACUAAAUAAGAUUUUAUUUCUUACA